AGGGCUUGACAAAAACAAAUACAAGUUUUCAGGUCUACUCUAUGGGAAGAAAAUAGUUGUUUCACUCAUGUGACUUGCAAAUCAGCACGAGGUUAAUUUCCAGGAAGGUGAUGUAUAAUAGCAUGCAUUGUUUCCCCAUCUAGGAGACCACUUCCGGCCCAGGCACAGGCUGUCUUUAGGAGCAGCUCCAGGACUGGCUGAAGGUCCUCAGACCUCUUCACACCCCCAAUGUCCUCUACAUCUGCUAACAAGGAGACCACGUGCCGCUCAGCCUGACAGGGUUCCACUCGAAGGUCCCUCAAGUCUCCUGGGGUCAGAGUGUGACUGACCAGCCACUCUGGAGAAGGUCCUGGGAGGAGGUUAAGAACUGGCUACGCUAAGAAGAUGAACAGAAGAAAGCCAUGAAUGCAGUUCAUGGUACCUUCCCCAAGUUCUUGAAAAUAUUCUUCUUCUAAUAUAAAAGGAUGGAAUCAUCUGUGUUAUUGACAAAGUCAUAAAGCAACUUGAUGCAGAACAUUCCCUCAGCUGUUCAAGGCACUGGGGAAGAAAGGAAACUCAUGCAGGAGAGGACAGCGCUUACCAGCUCCAGGGACCAGGCACCCCAACACAGCCUGAAUCAACAUGACAAAAGCGAGUGGUAAUAGAGAAGCAGAUCCUGCACCCCCAAAGGUAGGCGGGCCUCAAGAGCCCAAGCAGUAACAGUGCUGAGCACCUACUGUGUGCUGUGCUCUUUGCUGCAGGCCCUCAUAUUCCUCACUAGAUUCUGGUGAGUUAGGUGUUACCCUUUGUUUUAUAGAGGACACGGAGGUUCAAUGAGCAUAAAUGACUGGAUUAAGAGUAAAGGGUGGCAUUUGAGCCUCGGUCUGUCUGGCCAAGCAGCAGGAAGCCCGGUGCCUGAGCAGAACAAGUUUGGGUACCCCAGGGUGCAGACUUGCUGUUACAGUAAUAAGUUUAGUUAGUAUAAGAUAGUAUAAUCAAAUUUCAUUUUUUUUAUUAGAGUGAAUUUUAAACUUUACUUAGAAGUGAAACUUAACUUGUGUGUGUGUGUGUGUGUGAGACCCUGAUAAGUAACUUGUAAUGCCCUGCAAGCUAACUCCUGACCAAUAACUCCCAGCAUGUUAACUCCUGAUAAGAAACUUGCAACCCCCUGCGUGUGCAUCCUGACAAGCCCAGAAGGCCACCGGAGCACACUGGCAAGAGACACUGAAGAAGCCUGUUAUAGUAAUAAGUUUAGUUAGCAUAAAGUAAACUCACUUUGUAUUAGCAUAAGUUAGCAUAAGUAGACCCCAU
Myotis lucifugus (little brown bat) is the source of this 1290-nucleotide long non-coding RNA. RefSeq lists it as uncharacterized. The transcript has 4 exons. The record is from RefSeq and is a predicted model, not a curated record. Lineage: Eukaryota; Metazoa; Chordata; Mammalia; Chiroptera; Vespertilionidae.